UCCAUGGACUUGGACUAUACAUGGACUACAUUGCUUGCUGCCCUUCAUCCUGUUUCGUCAACAUAACAGGAUCUUCUGCUGCUACUCAUUGCGGCUUGUUUGCAAUACGACAUGCUACACAGGCCAGAGAACAAAAUUCCAACUUUGAAAACUGAUUUUCCUUACAACACUGUGCAGUCUGAAGAGGUAAUGACAUCGCUUGAUUCAGCCACAUGAAGACCCAUUUUAGCCUAAGGACACAUGGUGGGGAGUGGAGUGGACCAAGGUGGCUAAGAUGUGCUACAGGUGUGGAGGAUGAUAAUGAGGACCAGAGAAUGAUCAUGAGGACCAGCCACCAGAGAAAAAAGUCCCUGUUUGACCAAAGAGAAAGAAGCAGAUGAAAUAUUCCCCAAGAAAAUUAUUGACCACAGUGGAUUGAGUCAUCACCCACUAUGAGAAUGUCCAGAAGAGAUUCACCAAGUUUGAAUUCAUGAAAAGGCUUUCACCAUGAUUAACAUUGACCACAACCAUUGCAAGAUCAGUUAUAAUUUCUGAGCAUUUCCGGACACCUUUAAAGAGCUGCUUCCAGGAAAUGAAGACAACAAGAAGAUCUCCCUGUUAUCAGAGCGUUACAGGAAGGCUAUAACGAAGGAGAUGGCUGACACAAUCAAAGCAAAAAAUGUUAGGACUGUUGAAAGACGAUAUUUUCUUAACUUAAAGAUAAGUAAUUCUGUUUUAGUUUUUCAAUCAGUAUUUCAGAGUUACAAUAUACUGACCAGAAGUUAAACCCUCUGUUUGAAGAACAAGUAAUCUUUUGUUUAAUUCCAAUGUACAAAGGGUUUGUUCUACAGCUAUGAUGGUAGAUAUAAGUAGUCCAGUGUGUUCCACUUCACUUGAGGUAAGACCUAACAUUAAUGACUCUGUUAAUAUAGCACUUGACACUAUAAUGACACUUAAUGAUAUCUUUAUAACUGUUGCUACUUGUUUCACUUUACUUGAGGUAAGAGAUAAUAUUAAUGACACUGUAAUAACACUUAAUGACAUAUUUAUAGCUGGUGUUCCACUUGAAGUAAGAAGAAUUAUUAAUGACUCUGUUAUUAAAUCAUUUGACCGUGUAAUAAAGCUUAAUGAAAUCUU
This is a long non-coding RNA of Xiphophorus maculatus (southern platyfish), 1116 nucleotides long. RefSeq lists it as uncharacterized. NCBI's taxonomy places the organism in Eukaryota, Metazoa, Chordata, Actinopteri, Cyprinodontiformes, Poeciliidae. The transcript has 4 exons. The record is from RefSeq and is a predicted model, not a curated record.